RNAcentral lists this ribosomal RNA (253 nucleotides) under uncultured bacterium. RNAcentral describes it as "partial 16S ribosomal RNA". It matches the Rfam family "Bacterial small subunit ribosomal RNA", at positions 524 to 776 of the family's 1533-position model. The record is from RNAcentral.
UACGGAGGGUGCAAGCGUUAAUCGGAAUUACUGGGCGUAAAGCGCACGCAGGCGGUCUGUUAAGUCAGAUGUGAAAUCCCCGGGCUUAACCUGGGAACUGCAUUUGAAACUGGCAGGCUUGAGUCUCGUAGAGGGGGGUAGAAUUCCAGGUGUAGCGGUGAAAUGCGUAGAGAUCUGGAGGAAUACCGGUGGCGAAGGCGGCUCACUGGGGGUCUUCUGACGCUGAGGAACGAAAGCCAGGGGAGCGAACGGG